CCUACGGGAGGCAGCAGUGGGGAAUAUUGCACAAUGGAGGAAACCCUGAUCCAGCCAUCCCGCGUGUGCGAUGAAGGCCUUCGGGUUGUAAAGCACUUUUGGCAGGAAAGAAACGUCAUGGGCUAAUACCCCGUGAAACUGACGGUACCUGCAGAAUAAGCACCGGCUAACUACGUGCCAGCAGCCGCGGUAAU
RNAcentral lists this ribosomal RNA (194 nucleotides) under uncultured Achromobacter sp. RNAcentral describes it as "partial 16S ribosomal RNA". It matches the Rfam family "Bacterial small subunit ribosomal RNA", at positions 338 to 524 of the family's 1533-position model. The record is from RNAcentral. Lineage: Bacteria; Pseudomonadati; Pseudomonadota; Betaproteobacteria; Burkholderiales; Alcaligenaceae.